AUUGCUUCUUGGCCUUUUGGCUAAGAUCAAGUAUAAUAUCUGUUUCAGUUUUGAAAAUUGCUUGCCUUUUAUUAAAAAACAUGUACUUUACUAUGACUGAGAAAUUCUAU
Molecule: small nuclear RNA, 110 nt
Organism: Heterocephalus glaber (naked mole-rat)
Lineage: Eukaryota; Metazoa; Chordata; Mammalia; Rodentia; Bathyergidae
Gene: U2
Rfam family: U2 spliceosomal RNA
About the family: U2 is a small nuclear RNA (snRNA) component of the spliceosome (involved in pre-mRNA splicing). Complementary binding between U2 snRNA (in an area lying towards the 5' end but 3' to hairpin I) and the branchpoint sequence (BPS) of the intron results the bulging out of an unpaired adenosine, on the BPS, which initiates a nucleophilic attack at the intronic 5' splice site, thus starting the first of two transesterification reactions that mediate splicing.
Source: Ensembl